Molecule: ribosomal RNA, 588 nt
Filed under: uncultured Sebacinaceae
Lineage: Eukaryota; Fungi; Basidiomycota; Agaricomycetes; Sebacinales; Sebacinaceae
Description: eukaryotic LSU rRNA
Rfam family: Eukaryotic large subunit ribosomal RNA
Source: RNAcentral
AAAGAAACUAACAAGGAUUCCCCUAGUAACGGCGAGUGAAGAGGGAAGAGCUCAAAUUUUGAAUCUGGCGUCUUUGGCGUCCGAAUUGUAAUCUAGAGAAGUGUUUUCCGUAAUGGACCGUGCACAAGUCUCCUGGAAUGGAGCGUCAUAGAGGGUGAGAAUCCCGUAUAUGGCACGGACUCCCGUUGCUCUGUGAUACACUCUCAACGAGUCGAGUUGUUUGGGAAUGCAGCUCCAAAUGGGUGGUAAAUGCCAUCUAAAGCUAAAUAUUGGCGAGAGACCGAUAGCGAACAAGUACCGUGAGGGAAAGAUGAAAAGCACUUUGGAAAGAGAGUGAAACAGUACGUGAAAUUGUUGAAAGGGAAACGCUUGAAGUCAGUCGCGCCGUUCGGGAUUCACCCUUGCUUCUGCUUGGUUUACUUCCCGUUGGGUGGGUCAACAUCAGUUUUGGUCGGAGGAGAAAGGCCCGUGGAAGGUAGCAGCUUUGCUGUGUUAUAGCCACUUGUUGUAUACUUCGACUGGGACUAAGGAUCGCAGCACGCCUUUGGCCGGGGCUUUGCCCACGUACGUGCUUAGGAUGUUGGCAUA